GCCGAUGUGGUGGAAUUGGUAGACGCACUGGUUUCAAAAUCCAGCGAGGGCAACCUCGUGUCGGUUCGACUCCGACCGUCGGCA
RNAcentral lists this transfer RNA (84 nucleotides) under Leptospira haakeii. Its description in RNAcentral is "tRNA-Leu". It matches the Rfam family "tRNA". From Rfam's summary of the family: Transfer RNA (tRNA) molecules are approximately 80 nucleotides in length. Their secondary structure includes four short double-helical elements and three loops (D, anti-codon, and T loops). Further hydrogen bonds mediate the characteristic L-shaped molecular structure. tRNAs have two regions of fundamental functional importance: the anti-codon, which is responsible for specific mRNA codon recognition, and the 3' end, to which the tRNAs corresponding amino acid is attached (by aminoacyl-tRNA synthetases). tRNAs cope with the degeneracy of the genetic code in two manners: having more than one tRNA (with a specific anti-codon) for a particular amino acid; and 'wobble' base-pairing, i.e. permitting non-standard base-pairing at the 3rd anti-codon position. The record is from RNAcentral. Lineage: Bacteria; Pseudomonadati; Spirochaetota; Leptospiria; Leptospirales; Leptospiraceae.